This 253-nucleotide ribosomal RNA is filed under the name uncultured bacterium. Its description in RNAcentral is "partial 16S ribosomal RNA". It matches the Rfam family "Bacterial small subunit ribosomal RNA", at positions 16 to 252 of the family's 1533-position model. The record is from RNAcentral.
GUCAUGGCUCAGGAUGAACGCUGGCGGCGUGCUUAACACAUGCAAGUCGAACGGGAAACCUUUUAUUGAAGCUUCGGCAGAUUUAGCUGGUUUCUAGUGGCGGACGGGUGAGUAACGCGUGGGUAACCUGCCUUAUACAGGGGGAUAACAACCAGAAAUGGUUGCUAAUACCGCAUAAGCGCACAGGACCGCAUGGUCCAGUGUGAAAAACUCCGGUGGUAUAAGAUGGACCCGCGUUGGAUUAGCUAGUUGG